CCACAAUUUCCAUUAAAGUUCAUAUUAAAAUCUAAAGCAGAAAUUCUAUUACUAAGAUUUCUGUCGCUAAAAAGGACACCUAACCUGAGUAAAGAAAAGAGGUUUAAUUCUGUUUUUGAGGCUGAAAGUCCAAGAUGGGGUAAUCCCCUCUGUUGUCCUCAGGUGAGGCCCCUGGCCUGGGUCACAGUGUAGUGUGUAACUGGGAACCAACUAAAUGCUGCAGUGGCCAAGUGUGGCCUCGCGUUAUGACAGCCCACCCUGGUUCGAACUCCCUCACUCCACGGGGCCAUCUCCAGUCCAUCCAGGGCCACUUCCCCUGAUGACCACCUAAAUAUCACUGCAGAUCUAUUUGUGCCCAAGGUGUAAAAGGAGUGGGAUGAGGAGGGGGGGAAAUGAAGGGAGGAACCCAUGGAAACACAUGGAAGGUGAGAAAAGUUUUGUUUUUUCAUUCAGCUCUUGAGACCUUCCGUAUCAAAACUCACCUUCAUAAAACCUGAGAUUUCUCUCACCUUGCAAGAAUCACCAUCAUAUGCUGAUUGCCAUUGACACUGAAGGACUCGUUGGUCAGACUCACAUUAAGGAAAUACCACGGAAAUAAACUUAUGAAGAAGAAAAGUUUCUUUGGCUCUGGUUCUGUAGGAUCCUGUCCAAGGUCAGGGGGCACCACUCACCUCAGGAACCAGGAAACAAAGAAUAGCAGGAAGAGGAAGAUCCUGGGGUAACCACGAUCCCCUUUCCUCCAGGGCCUAUGGCCUCCCAAGGGGUCCCCCUUCCUCAAGGACCUCAGAACCUCCAACAGCACCUGCCUGGAGCCAAGCCUUUAACUCUGGGG
Molecule: long non-coding RNA, 832 nt
Filed under: Marmota monax (woodchuck)
Lineage: Eukaryota; Metazoa; Chordata; Mammalia; Rodentia; Sciuridae
Source: RNAcentral